UGGCGGCAUGCCUUACACAUGCAAGUCGAACGGCCAGCACGGGUGCUUGCACCUGGUGGCGAGUGGCGAACGGGUGAGUAAUACAUCGGAACGUACCUUAUCGUGGGGGAUAACGCAGCGAAAGUUGCGCUAAUACCGCAUACGCCCUGAGGGGGAAAGCGGGGGACCGUAAGGCCUCGCGCGAUUAGAGCGGCCGAUGUCUGAUUAGCUUGUUGGUGAGGUAAAAGCUCACCAAGGCGAUGAUCAGUAGCUGGUCUGAGAGGACGAUCAGCCACACUGGGACUGAGACACGGCCCAGACUCCUACGGGAGGCAGCAGUGGGGAAUUUUGGACAAUGGGGGCAACCCUGAUCCAGCAAUGCCGCGUGAGUGAAGAAGGCCUUCGGGUUGUAAAGCUCUUUUGUCAGGGAAGAAACAGCAGCUCUAACACAGACUGCGAAUGACGGUACCUGAAGAAUAAGCACCGGCUAACUACGUGCCAGCAGCCGCGGUAAUACGUAGGGUGCGAGCGUUAAUCGGAAUUACUGGGCGUAAAGCGUGCGCAGGCGGUUAUACAAGACAGGCGUGAAAUCCCCGGGCUUAACCUGGGAAUGGCGUCUGUGACUGUAUAGCUAGAGUGUGUCAGAGGGGGGUGGAAUUCCACGUGUAGCAGUGAAAUGCGUAGAUAUGUGGAGGAACACCAAUGGCGAAGGCAG
RNAcentral lists this ribosomal RNA (694 nucleotides) under Pseudomonadota bacterium. RNAcentral's name for it is "bacterial SSU rRNA". It matches the Rfam family "Bacterial small subunit ribosomal RNA", at positions 37 to 724 of the family's 1533-position model. The record is from RNAcentral. Lineage: Bacteria; Pseudomonadati; Pseudomonadota.